Molecule: non-coding RNA, 398 nt
Organism: Ailuropoda melanoleuca (giant panda)
Lineage: Eukaryota; Metazoa; Chordata; Mammalia; Carnivora; Ursidae
Source: Rfam
CAUAAUAAGACCAGAAGAACCUAUGGAGCUUUAAUCAAUCAGUCCAAAAAAGAACAAAAAAUUUAGCCAAAUUUAAAGGAUAAAGAAACUGUAAGUGGACUAACAGUUUUGUUUGAGGUAACGUAGAUAACAAAAUAGGCUCCAAGUAAUUAAAAUCUAGACCAACAAGUCAAAAUGUUUUAUCACUUAUUGAUCCAAAAUAUGGAUCAAGAGAACAAGUUACCCUAGGGAUAACAGCACUAUCCUAUUCUAUAUAGUCCAUAGGGUUUAUGACCUCGAUGUCGAGUCAGGACAUCCCAAUAGUGUAACCACUAGUAAUGAUUUGUUUGUUCAACUAUUAAAGUCCUAUGUGAUCUGGUUUUAGAUCUGGGUGAUCUAGGUCAGUUUUAUCUGUUCCA